RNAcentral lists this long non-coding RNA (847 nucleotides) under Gossypium barbadense (sea-island cotton). RNAcentral's name for it is "long non-coding RNA (GBAR_LNC021545)". Lineage: Eukaryota; Viridiplantae; Streptophyta; Magnoliopsida; Malvales; Malvaceae. The record is from RNAcentral.
AUAAUCAAGCCUAUUUUUAAUUUACUUAUACUUAAAAAAAUACGUACACCAUUAUCAUAGUAUAUUAAAGCAUGUAGAAAAAAGUUAUACUAAGAUAACACAACAUUUAAGUUGUAAGAGCCCAUUUUUGCCCGGGCCCAUACCAGCAAAAUACCAAAAAUCAAAAUAAAUCAAAUAGUCCAUUACAAUGGCCUAAUAUGGCCCAAAACCCACUAUACCCAAUGGCCCAAAUCACCUAAGCGAAACCCUAACAGCUAGGGCCUUUAGCGCCGCAUCAGAUGCCACCACGCCCCACACUCGCACAAGCCUCGUAUGCGUGCCUUCUCCUCCGUACAUGCCACAUCCGCAACCUCUGCACACAGUACCUGCCAAAGACGAGCAAACACAGCAGAAAGCAGGCACGAACAAAACGAAAAAGGGGCACAGAGAAAAAAAGAGGGCAGAACGAGGGCAAUUGGUGGAUUUUUAUUUCUGAUUUUCUUUUCUUUUUGUAAAUAGAUAAUAUAAAAAGACCAAAGAAAGUUGUAAAAGAUAGACAAUAAAAAAUAUAUAAAAAAAUAUACAGAGGUUGAAGAAAAAAACCUUUCUCUGAGAUCGUUUUUCGAAAGGUAGAUCUGGCUCUUCUUUGGUUUUCUUUCUCGAUUUCGUUCUUUUUUGCUUUCUUUCAACAAACAACGUAUACAAGUUAAGAGGGAGCGAAUACUUACCUUGAUGAUCCCGUAGUCGUUCUCAUCAGAGUCGUGGCUACCGGAGGACCCAUGGACGGUUUAGUCCGAGAACAGCGCAAAAGGGAGAGAGGAAAAACUUUUUUUCUUUUUCAUUAUUUUUUUAGGUGGCCGAAUAACCC